RNAcentral lists this ribosomal RNA (832 nucleotides) under Fusarium culmorum. Its description in RNAcentral is "partial large subunit ribosomal RNA". It matches the Rfam family "Eukaryotic large subunit ribosomal RNA", at positions 76 to 938 of the family's 3401-position model. Lineage: Eukaryota; Fungi; Ascomycota; Sordariomycetes; Hypocreales; Nectriaceae. The record is from RNAcentral.
UGCCCUAGUAACGGCGAGUGAAGCGGCAACAGCUCAAAUUUGAAAUCUGGCUUUCGGGCCCGAGUUGUAAUUUGUAGAGGAUGAUUUUGAUGCGGUGCCUUCCGAGUUCCCUGGAACGGGACGCCAUAGAGGGUGAGAGCCCCGUCUGGUUGGAUGCCAAAUCUCUGUAAAUCUCCUUCGACGAGUCGAGUAGUUUGGGAAUGCUGCUCUAAAUGGGAGGUAUAUGUCUUCUAAAGCUAAAUACCGGCCAGAGACCGAUAGCGCACAAGUAGAGUGAUCGAAAGAUGAAAAGCACUUUGAAAAGAGAGUUAAAAAGUACGUGAAAUUGUUGAAAGGGAAGCGUUUAUGACCAGACUUGGGCUUGGUUAAUCAUCUGGGGUUCUCUCCAGUGCACUUUUCCAGCCCAGGCCAGCAUCAGUUUUCGCCGGGGGAUAAAGACUUCGGGAAUGUGGCUCCCCUCGGGGAGUGUUAUAGCCCGUUGUGUAAUACCCUGGUGGGGACUGAGGUUCGCGCUUCUGCAAGGAUGCUGGCGUAAUGGUCAUCAACGACCCGUCUUGAAACACGGACCAAGGAGUCGUCUUCGUAUGCGAGUGUUCGGGUGUCAAACCCCUACGCGUAAUGAAAGUGAACGCAGGUGAGAGCUUCGGCGCAUCAUCGACCGAUCCUGAUGUUCUCGGAUGGAUUUGAGUAAGAGCAUACGGGGCCGGACCCGAAAGAAGGUGAACUAUGCCUGUGUAGGGUGAAGCCAGAGGAAACUCUGGUGGAGGCUCGCAGCGGUUCUGACGUGCAAAUCGAUCGUCAAACAUGGGCAUGGGGGCGAAAGACUAAUCGA